UGGGGAGACCCAGUGCCGCAGUUAAACAAUAAGCACUCCGCCUGGGGAGUACGGUCGCAAGACUGAAACUCAAAGGAAUUGACGGGGGCCCGCACAAGCAGCGGAGCAUGUGGUUUAAUUCGAAGCAACGCGAAGAACCUUACCAGGUCUUGACAUCCUUUGACAAUCCUAGAGAUAGGACUUUCCCUUCGGGGACAAAGAGACAGGUGGUGCAUGGUUGUCGUCAGCUCGUGUCGUGAGAUGUUGGGUUAAGUCCCGCAACGAGCGCAACCCCUAUAUUUAGUUGCCAUCAGGUUAAGCUGGGCACUCUAGAUAGACUGCCGUAGACAAUACGGAGGAAGGUGGGGAUGACGUCAAAUCAUCAUGCCCCUUAUGACCUGGGCUACACACGUGCUACAAUGGCCUGAACAACGGGUUGCAAUAUGGCGACAUGGAGCUAAUCCCACAAAUCAGGUCUCAGUUCGGAUUGCAGGCUGCAACUCGCCUGCAUGAAGUCGGAGUUGCUAGUAAUCGCGGAUCAGAAUGUCGCGGUGAAUGCGUUCCCGGGCCUUGUACACACCGCCCGUCACACCACGAAAGUUGGCAACACCCGAAGUCAGUGAGCUAACCGGUUUACCGGAGGCAGCUGCCGAAGGUGGGGUCAAUGAUUGGGGUGAAGUCGUAACAAGGUAGCCG
Molecule: ribosomal RNA, 675 nt
Filed under: uncultured bacterium
Lineage: Bacteria
Description: bacterial SSU rRNA
Rfam family: Bacterial small subunit ribosomal RNA
Source: RNAcentral